UCAAACCCUACUCGUUGCCUCUUACUGAAACCCUAAUCCAUGGCUUCCUAGGCUCAUCGAAGACAUCUACCAGCCUCUCAGGGCUUCUACGUGCUCAUCUUUGAGGUCCUAUGACCAGAUCCUGAAGGUGUUUCGACCAAGCCUUUAUUUGAUAACCGUUCUCCGAUCAUCUUCCACCUUUUUCCAGGCCACCCAUGGCUAUUCGAGUUUGAUCUUCGACUUUCCUGUUUAUAUCGAUGGUUUUCAAAGCCUUUC
RNAcentral lists this long non-coding RNA (255 nucleotides) under Nicotiana benthamiana. Its description in RNAcentral is "long non-coding RNA (NBEN_LNC025955)". The record is from RNAcentral. Lineage: Eukaryota; Viridiplantae; Streptophyta; Magnoliopsida; Solanales; Solanaceae.